This is a long non-coding RNA of Symphalangus syndactylus (siamang), 592 nucleotides long. RefSeq lists it as uncharacterized. The record is from RefSeq and is a predicted model, not a curated record. NCBI's taxonomy places the organism in Eukaryota, Metazoa, Chordata, Mammalia, Primates, Hylobatidae.
CACUGCUCUCAGGGGCAGUGUGGACAACCCCUCAGUGUAUAGGCUCGAGAGAAUCAGAAAGAGGUCCACUGCUGAGCAGCACUGUUGGGAACUUAGCGCCUCAACCAUAUGUUCCCAAGCCCCUGGGUUGGUGACUGGCAGGAGGAGAGAAGCCACUCCACCAAGCUGAAACAGCACCUGUCCCUCACGGUGGAGAGCCGAGGCAGCCCAGCAACCAGUCAAUUUUUGCAGGACCAGAAGCACCAUCAGAGGCCCUGCUUGCUGAUUCAUUUCCAUACCUCGUUGAUCUCCACCCACAGAACAAUAUGUAGAAGCAUUUUCAAACAGUUCACACCAAAUGCCCUCACUAACAUUCCAAAGCAGCUACAGAGGAAAUUAAUAGUUUCCUUCAGAGAUUUUUAUUUAUACAAAUGCAAAAACUCCUAUUUAUACCUUCCCAGAUUUGUAGACCUCCUCUUGCUGUUGUUUUUUCCUCCUGUUGCUUGGAGUAAAGAAGUGGGAAUGAUGCAAAAAUGAAACCACUUUAGUAAUACAGGAGAGUGACCGUUUGGUGACAAAUUGUGGACUAUGGUAAUGCAUUCUUGGACCCAAC